CCUACGGGUGGCUGCAGUGAGGAAUAUUGGUCAAUGGACGGAAGUCUGAACCAGCCAUGCCGCGUGCAGGAAGACGGCUCUAUGAGUUGUAAACUGCUUUCGUACAAGGGUAAACCUGAAUACGUGUAUUCAGCUGAAAGUACUGUACGAAUAAGGAUCGGCUAACUCCGUGCCAGCAGCCGUGGUAAUACGGAGGAUCCAAGAGUUGUCCGGAUUUAUUGGGUUUAAAGGGUGCGUAGGCGGAUUGAUAAGUUGGAGGUGAAAGGUCCGAGCUCAACUCGGGAACUGCCUCUAAUACGGUUGGUCUAGAGAGAAGGAGCGGGAGGCGGAAUGUAUGGUGUAGCAGUGAAAUGCUUAGAGAUC
This 363-nucleotide ribosomal RNA is filed under the name uncultured bacterium. RNAcentral describes it as "partial 16S ribosomal RNA". It matches the Rfam family "Bacterial small subunit ribosomal RNA", at positions 338 to 698 of the family's 1533-position model. The record is from RNAcentral.